Molecule: non-coding RNA, 163 nt
Organism: Arabidopsis thaliana (thale cress)
Lineage: Eukaryota; Viridiplantae; Streptophyta; Magnoliopsida; Brassicales; Brassicaceae
Source: RefSeq
AAUGAGAGUAAUAUAGUUGAAUCUUCGAAAGUAUUUCAAGAAGUCAGCUGAGCUUUCUCGUCAUCACUUAUUAGUAAAUAUAGUCUCUAUAUUUUUGAUGAGUGAUGAUUGGAAAUUUCGUUGACUCAUUACUCUUGAUGAUUCUGCUAUGUUGCUGCUCAUU